This 141-nucleotide unclassified non-coding RNA is filed under the name Xenorhabdus doucetiae. Its description in RNAcentral is "yybP-ykoY". The stretch from base 1 to 109 matches the Rfam family "Manganese Mn2+ riboswitch aptamer (yybP-ykoY)". From Rfam's summary of the family: This RNA was originally discovered in E. coli during a large scale screen and was named SraF. The family was later found to exist upstream of related families of protein genes in many bacteria, including the the yybP and ykoK genes in B. subtilis. The specific functions of these proteins are unknown, but this structured RNA element may be involved in their genetic regulation as a riboswitch. Lineage: Bacteria; Pseudomonadati; Pseudomonadota; Gammaproteobacteria; Enterobacterales; Morganellaceae. The record is from RNAcentral.
GCUACAGUCAUUGGGGAGUAGCCUGUUCCAGAAAAUCGCUGGAAUAUUCGUAUCAACAUGCUCGUUUGAAAUAAAACGUGGUACGAAUGCCUAAAGAACCUAUACGGGUAUAAAUCGGUUGGCAAGACCAUAGACACAUAA